CUAAAUCUUACUAUUGCCAAAUAGAGUAUUUGAGUAUCACAUUAUAUUUGUGAAGUGUAUUGUAUCUAUAAAAGCAAAUGCAAUUGAAAAUUGAAAUGGGAAAUGUGUCAAAGAGACAACAACCCGACCAAAGAGAAGACAACAGCAUAAGGCCACCAAUGGGUCUUCAAUGCAUGCAACGAGGAACUCCCGCAACCGGAAAUAUCUGCUAUGAGCUUUUCACGUUAAUCACCUAAUAAUCGAAUCAAUCGAAACACAAUAUUGAUUAGUGGUU
This 274-nucleotide long non-coding RNA is filed under the name Mytilus galloprovincialis (Mediterranean mussel). The record is from RNAcentral. Lineage: Eukaryota; Metazoa; Mollusca; Bivalvia; Mytilida; Mytilidae.